UACGUAGGGUGCAAGCGUUGUCCGGAAUUAUUGGGCGUAAAGAGCUCGUAGGCGGUUCGUCGCGUCGGCUGUGAAAAACCCGGAGCUCCAACGUCCGGGCCUGCAGUCGAUACGGGCGGACUAGAGUUCGGCAGGGGAGACUGGAAUUCCUGGUGUAGCGGUGAAAUGCGCAGAUAUCAGGAGGAACACCGGUGGCGAAGGCGGGCUCUGGGCCGAUACUGACGCUGAGGAGCGAAAGCGUGGGGAGCGAACAGG
RNAcentral lists this ribosomal RNA (255 nucleotides) under uncultured bacterium. RNAcentral's name for it is "partial 16S ribosomal RNA". It matches the Rfam family "Bacterial small subunit ribosomal RNA", at positions 524 to 776 of the family's 1533-position model. The record is from RNAcentral.